UACGGAGGGUGCAAGCGUUAUCCGGAUUUACUGGGUUUAAAGGGUGCGUAGGCGGAUAGGUAAGUCAGGGGUGAAAUCCUGGAGCUUAACUCCAGAACUGCCUUUGAUACUAUCUAUCUUGAAUAUUGUGGAGGUUUGCGGAAUAUGUCAUGUAGCGGUGAAAUGCUUAGAUAUGACAUGGAACACCUAUUGCGAAGGCAGCAGGCUACGCAUAUAUUGACGCUGAGGCACGAAAGCGUGGGUAGCAAACAGG
RNAcentral lists this ribosomal RNA (253 nucleotides) under uncultured bacterium. RNAcentral's name for it is "partial 16S ribosomal RNA". It matches the Rfam family "Bacterial small subunit ribosomal RNA", at positions 524 to 776 of the family's 1533-position model. The record is from RNAcentral.